Molecule: long non-coding RNA, 4097 nt
Filed under: Bos grunniens (domestic yak)
Lineage: Eukaryota; Metazoa; Chordata; Mammalia; Artiodactyla; Bovidae
Description: lncRNA (ENSBGRG00000026923.1)
Source: RNAcentral
CGGGCCUGAGACCGGCUCUGGUCCCUUGGCUUGGGGGCGCUUCUGCGUUUAGGGGCCGGAGGUCCUCGGGCUGCAGGCUCUCAGGGGUCUUCCCAUCCAGGGCGGGUUUGGGCCUUGUGCUGGCGAUGUUCAGACUGUAGAGCUGCUGAGGGCUGCCAGCCACCCUGCCUGCCCGCCGGACACGAGCCUGCAUGAGGUUGCUUCCCGCUGGGGUUUGGGGGCUGCUGCCCUUGCUGGGGACGCUGCUCAGGGCCUGCGCUCUGGGGAGAGGGGCCUCGGUCACCCCUUUCCCAGCCUGCUGCACCUGGGUCUUGGGGUCGUCCAUGGCCUGGACCCUGCUCCCCAUGGCCUUGGUGGUCCUGUUGGCCAGGGCACUGAUCUCUCCGGGGGGCCGCAGGGGGCCUCCUGUGCCACUGGCCGCCGGGCAGGGCUGCAGGUCUCCGGUCAUGGUUGGGGGUGGCGCUCCGAGGGGCUGCUCCCCAGGCAUGGCCCCUCCGUCCUGGGCGCUAGGAGGAUGCUGUGGUCCGAGGAGGGCCGCAGAAAGCGGGCUGGGCAGCCAUCCUGGCCCCUCGAGGAGCCCUGGAGAAGCCUGCUUGCAUGGUCCUGACUGGAGUCUGCAAGGAAAGGACAGGAUCACAGGUUCCUGUGGUUCGAGAGUCUGAAGUGAGAGGUCUCCACAAUGCCCCCAUCUCUACCCCCAGCCCACGGACGCUCUUUCCCUGCCUUGCUGGGUCAGCACAGGAAGCAGCUUCUUGUGUUUCUUUCCAGAGUUUCUUGAUGCAAAUACCAGCAAAUGUAAAUAAAUAUUUCCAUCUCCCCGCUUUCUUCAACAAGAGAUAGUCCACUGCACACACUGUGCCUCCCUUUUUGCAUUUAACAGUGAACCUUGGUGGUACCUCCACAGCACCCCAUAGAGCAACUCCUGGCUGAUAUCUGUCUAUCCACCUUUCCACCAACACACGGCUAUAGAACAUUCUGCGGAACAGCUAAGCCUACACCCAGACCCUUCUGGGUGGACGGAUGCUGGGUUGCCCUCUCUGGGCCUUUGUAAGUAGUAAAGCAAUGAACAUGUGUAAGGAGACCAGCAGAACAAACCCAAAGAAGAAACAGCACGGUCAAGGGCAAACGCACUUGUGAUCUAAAGACACUGUCAGGUAACCACUGCUGUGGUUUCAACAUUUGGCCAAAUGUUGAAACCACAAUGCUUUGAUCCUUCUCCCUCCAAAAGGUGGAGCCCAAGUCCCUCCCCUUCAACAGGGGCUGGACGUGGCGACUGGCGGCUGAUGAAAAGAAUACCUGCCCAAAUUCCAGACCCACAGAAACCCUUAGAUUUCAAGCUGCUGUCUGUCACUCAGCAUUAGGGAACUACUAGGACAACUCUUGGUGGUUGUGCUGACUCGCAUCCCCCCCGAGAUGUGGAGAUUUCUGGCAUCACAGGGCGGAAAGCGUGCCCUUGCCUGGAGUGGGGCAGGCCAAGUCCUGGGGAGGGCCUACAGGAGGCAGAGAUCUUCCCUGCAGCUUCCCAUUCACUCACUCACUCACUCACUGAUUCAUUCAGUCACUCACUCAUUCAUUCACUCACUCCUUCAUUCCGUCACUCACUCCUUCAUUCAGAGAUCAGACACUAGGUCAGGCAUCUGUCACACAGUGGUGAGUGACUGACUCUGCUGUGAAACAUCAACAGGAACCACAGAUGAGGAAACUGAGGCUCAGAGAGGUCAUGUGACUUGUCCAAGUCACACAGCAUGCAGUGAACGUGGGUCGGUGCGAGGCAGGCCUCCGGGGACUAUGCUUGCCCUGUGCAGGACCGAGUAUCUCUGCACUUCGGCCCCAUCUCAGGGCCCCUCUCUUCCUGAGGUGGCCCUGCCUCCACGUGCGGGCCUGUGGGCAGAGCUAAUGGGCCCCAUAUUCUGCCUUCAGCACUCAGGGCACCCCAGACUGGCUGCCCCUUCAAGGAUUUGACGGCCCGUCCUGGGUGCUCAGACAGUGGGGCAGGCAGGGGGCAGCGCAUGCCCGGUCUUGGGUUCCCAUCCCUGCCCAGGCUCUUGGCAAAGCCCCCUGGUUCUGGCCGGUGUGGGUUUCAGCAGGCCUGGGGCCCCUUUGAAGUGGGGAGAUCCAAUCCCCCAGACCCUGGCCUGCCCCCGGGAACUCCAGGAGUGCAGGCAUCUCCUUUUCACUCAGAAACACCACCUGGCCCCAGCCUCUGGGUAACUCAAGCCCACAGUGGUGCUGGCUGGCUCCAGCUGGGUGUGGGUGGCAGCUCCUGGUGAGGGGUGUCCCGCUGCAAGCCUGGGCCCCUGCCCUCCAGUACUCCCUCUCCAUGGACCCCAGGCCUCAGCAGGGAGUCCAGGCUCUGCUCCUGACCCUCUGCCCUCAGCUCUCCUUUCAACCUGCCCCGUUUUAGCUCUGGCCUCUCGUCCUUGAUCUGGGCCCUCCUGUCCACUCCUGCCCACUCCCCCAGACCCUCUCAGGCCUUUGUCUAAGCAGUGCCCCUGCCCAGAUGCCCCCGCCUCCUCCCCCACCCUCCCAAUUCCUACUCACUUCUAAAGGGAGACCAUUGGCAGGGGGGUCAGCAGGGUCUGGACUUGAAUCCUGGCUCUAGCACUUCUGGCUAUAAAAUGGGGUGAUCACAGCUCUGGCCUCAAAGGCUUGAGGCCUGGAGGCUGGACAGAACCGCACACACUAAGCCCGCAGACGCUGGCUCUGAAUGAAGUCACUGCUCCUCCAGGCUCCUCUCCAGCCUCCCUCUUCCAAGAAUUGCCCUUUCAGUUAUGUGUGUGUCCACCGGUGAAGCAGGAAUGAUCUUGGGAGCCCUCACUGGGGGGCUGUCCCCCAACACCGGGUUCUGGACAGCUCAGCACAGAUGGCCCUGCUGGGUCAGAGCUCUGCGCCCCGGCUCCCCUCCCUGGCCCAGCUCCCUGGGCCCUCCGGCCUCAGUUUCGAGGGGCUGGGGCUGCUGACCUCUCAGGCCGCCCGGGCUCCCAUCUUCUGUGACUCGGGACCUCUGGCCGGCAGUAGACUUGGCUGUGGCCCUGUGGUCUCCUCGGUCUCCCUGCUGCCGACCUGCCCAGAGGUGGGCGUGUUUAACUCCCCUGUUAGGAUGUUUCUCUUGUCGGGGUGGGGCUGCACCUUCUAAACAGGCAGGAACCUGGCCUCUUCUGGUUUCUACCUGCGAGGGGCAAGGCCCACGGUGAGGUGGGGUAGAGGCAUCUGCCCUUUCGUCCCCUUGUCCUGUCCUGGCUGGGUCCCUGGCCCCCAGUGCCCUUGGGAAGCGGUCAGCAUUGGACGAGUUGUGAGGGUAGGCUGCACACUUGCUCCAUCCUGGCCUUGGCCUGGCGGUGCCUGUGUGUGGCCUCUGCUGGCUGGGCACUGGGUGACUGGACAGGCAUGGGGAGCAGGUGUGGGCGGGGCAGGCUGGGCAGCUGUCCCCCUCUCCUGCAUCAUCUGUCCCUCCCUGAGGAGCUGGCAGCUUUAGGGAUGGUGCAGAGGCAACGGCAAUGACCGCAGAGGACUGUGUGGACACCGCCUUGACCUCAUGGCUGCCCUUUGUGGCCAGUGCUUACUCUUGUUACAGGUGGGAACAGAGGUUUGCAGAGGGGGUCAGUCCCCAUGUGGUGAGGGCAGCACGGUGUGACGUCUUUCGGGAGGAGCUUGUAGCGGCCGGUUGUGACCAGGGCGGAGGGAGGGAGCGGGGUUUGGCUGAGGGUAGCAGGCACAGGGGUCUAAGAAGCCCCUCCAAGGACGUGACCCUCGGCCAUGUGUGGCCAGGCCGUGGGUAAGGGUCCUUCAGGUAUGGCGUGGGGGAUGGGUCCCCCAGCUGGGAGGCGCGGUGGGGCUGGGGUGGCGAGCAGGCUGGCGAGGGGGCAGCCAGUGGGGGUCUUCUGGCGGAUCAGGGAUGCCGUGGACAUACACCCCCUAGGCAACCCCCUUUCCUAGACACCGAUCAGGAGGCAAGAUGUAGGUGCUGCUAGGUGGACCAGGCUGUGAUGGGCAGCCAGGGUCCAGCCUGACCAGGUGUGGACGGGGAAACUGAGGCUUCCAGGAGACUGGGCUGUCUAAGGCAGAGCCUGGAGUAGGACCCUGUCCCCACCCCCGUG